UAAAAAGCGCAGACAAGGAAAAAAGAUUCGUUUUCCAGGUUCAGAAAGCAGCCGGAUGAUGCAAGGCUGUCCGGAAUACGUAUCGAAACUCCCCUUCGAGCUGAAAGAGUGAAUACAGUAGUUCUUUCCGGGAUUUCCCGUUACAGAAACAGCGAUUGUCAGAUCGUGCGAAGCGGCUGCAGAUGAAUGCGGCAAGAAGAGUGGUACCGCGGAAAAUUCCGUCUCUUUG
RNAcentral lists this non-coding RNA (229 nucleotides) under Erysipelotrichaceae bacterium. Its description in RNAcentral is "T-box sequence". It matches the Rfam family "T-box leader". From Rfam's summary of the family: Uncharged tRNA acts as the effector for transcription antitermination of genes in the T-box leader family. T-boxes are found upstream of many aminoacyl-tRNA synthetase genes and some amino acid biosynthetic genes usually in Gram-positive bacteria. The anticodon of a specific tRNA base pairs to a specifier sequence within the T-box motif, and the NCCA acceptor tail of the tRNA base pairs to a conserved bulge in the T-box antiterminator hairpin. Lineage: Bacteria; Bacillati; Bacillota; Erysipelotrichia; Erysipelotrichales; Erysipelotrichaceae. The record is from RNAcentral.